CAACCCUCAAGUCCCCUGUGGACUUGGUGUUGGGGACCGGCGACACGCAGCUGUGUUUUUCUCACAGUUGGUUCGCCGCCCCCUAAAUGACUUGGCGGCCCCGUCUUAGGCUACCCCUCUGCGUAGUAGAACACACCUCGCAACAGGAAGCCCGGCGAAUGGCCACUGCCGUAAAACCCCCCAACUUCUUUCAGAG
RNAcentral lists this unclassified non-coding RNA (196 nucleotides) under uncultured Metarhizium. RNAcentral's name for it is "sequence contains ITS2". The record is from RNAcentral. Lineage: Eukaryota; Fungi; Ascomycota; Sordariomycetes; Hypocreales; Clavicipitaceae.